Molecule: non-coding RNA, 81 nt
Organism: Oncorhynchus keta (chum salmon)
Lineage: Eukaryota; Metazoa; Chordata; Actinopteri; Salmoniformes; Salmonidae
Source: the annotation of a RefSeq genome assembly
UCCUGUGUGGCUCAGUUGGUAGAGCAUGGUGCUUGCAACGCCAUGGUUGUGGGUUUGAUUCCCACGAAGGGCCCAUAUGAA